This 468-nucleotide ribosomal RNA is filed under the name uncultured bacterium. RNAcentral describes it as "partial 16S ribosomal RNA". It matches the Rfam family "Bacterial small subunit ribosomal RNA", at positions 28 to 507 of the family's 1533-position model. The record is from RNAcentral.
GACGAACGCUGGCGGCGUGCUUAACACAUGCAAGUCGAACGGAAAGGCCCUGCUUUUGUGGGGUGCUCGAGUGGCGAACGGGUGAGUAACACGUGAGUAACCUGCCCUUGACUUUGGGAUAACUUCAGGAAACUGGGGCUAAUACCGGAUAGGAGCUCCUGCUGCAUGGUGGGGGUUGGAAAGUUUCGGCGGUUGUGGAUGGACUCGCGGCUUAUCAGCUUGUUGGUGGGGUAGUGGCUUACCAAGGCUUUGACGGGUAGCCGGCCUGAGAGGGUGACCGGCCACAUUGGGACUGAGAUACGGCGCAGACUCCUACGGGAGGCAGCAGUGGGGAAUAUUGCACAAUGGGCGGAAGCCUGAUGCAGCAACGCCGCGUGCGGGAUGACGGCCUUCGGGUUGUAAACCGCUUUCGCCUGUGACGAAGCGUGAGUGACGGUAAUGGGUAAAGAAGCACCGGCUAACUACGUG